This 7997-nucleotide unclassified non-coding RNA is filed under the name Hevea brasiliensis (rubber tree). Lineage: Eukaryota; Viridiplantae; Streptophyta; Magnoliopsida; Malpighiales; Euphorbiaceae. The record is from RNAcentral.
UUCUCUAAGCUUGAAAGCUCUAAGAUUCUCAUUGGAGAAAAUAAUAUGAGAUUUUGCAGAACAACUAAUUGACUAGAACAAUGUUUUCACAUUUCAAUUACUUGCACGAAAAGCUGCAAAGUAAUUAUGAUUCAAGCGAACAAGUGAUGACUGACUGCAAAAAUAUUACAUCACUAACUACAACCUCUAAUUUAUUAUGCCUACUUGCAAAACCAGGACCUAAAGUUUUCCUAUAUACACUAGAUGAUUAUGUUUGUCCAUCACGGGUUUCCAAUACUGGUUACAAAAGGCACCAGCCUUCUAUAGUCUCUCCUCCUCCCUAGUGCACAGUUGUCAAGUACUCUUCCCAGGAUCAGACGCGUGUUCUGUAAAGCCACCUCUCUAGGUGGAAUGCCUGAUUCAAUUCCGCUUUGUGUACCUGGUGUGGAUGCAACCCCAAACCCUGAUCCCAUGGCAUAUUGUAGGGGCCCACUCCGAGCUUUAAAUGAGGUCUGAGGAGCAAGCAUCUUAUCAUCAGCACCAUUCUCAUAAGAACCUGACUCAUGUGGGUGGGAACCUGUCAAUGAACUACAGCUCUGCAAAAGGGCUUCCAGCACGCUCAAUGCUUCCCAACACAAUGUACUCUCCACCAGCUGGGACACAAUUGCAUACAUAUGCGGGCUUUGGGAAGCAUCCAUAGGAGUAUGCUGAAGCAGCGCUUUGAGCAUCAGCAGUAUCACACGCUGAUACUCAACCGGACCUUUCUCCAAUAGUUUUAGCAAGUGCCCAAAAGCCAAAGCAGAGUGCUUUGGAAACCAUUCAUUGCAUAAUAGUGGUGAGACACAAGCAAGGAGGUUCUCAAUGCUGUUGACCUCUCCUCGGGCAUAAGCAACAAAAACAGUGGCUAAUUCAUUCGAUGACUUUGCUCGACACCAAAGAGCAAUGUUAUUUGCAACGGAACAAGCCUUUUGCCACUGCUGGUGAAGUGGUGAAGCAGGUGCCACUGUUGCAUCCUUGCUAAGCUGCAAGCAGAGCCAGGGAAGCAAGCCUGUGAUGUGCAUCAGGAGCCUUGUCUCUGCAUCCCCAAAUAUAGAAUCACAUGAGUGCACGGUGAUCCGGGAGAGAACCUCAAUAGAAACGCCAUGACUAACAGUUGACAUGAGCCCUUUAAGCACAAGAGGCUGCACCCCUUCAAAUGUUGGCAGAUUCCCACUGGAUGAUGCUAGUGAUUCAAUUCGUUGAAAAUCCCCAAUGUCACUACCAUUAUCAAGCUCAUCACGAGGCAUGCUUGAAAGAAGCACAUUUUCUGUUGUUCUAUCCCGGAAUGAUAAACGAUCAAUCACACGUGAGAAGAGCUCAAGCACCUGACAGUAGACAUGAACAAAAUCUGUGUGCAUCAUGGCUACACAACCCCAGAAGAGUUGGGGGUAGAGGAUCACCUUUUCUGGCUCCAUAUUCUCCACCAUAACUUGUAAUGUCAACAAAAUUUCCAUGAUAAAUCCCAAAACUGGGGGUAUUGGAUUACCUAGGCAUCUGUGGAGGCAUCUAAGGAGUGAUACACAAGUGUCACUUGUGACACUAGGCCGCAAUGCACGGUAGAUCUGGUGUGAGCGGCACGCAAGGUGUCUUGAUGUGCACUCCAUGGCCCAUUUGAGUGCCUCAGCACCCCAAGUUUCACGAAGAUCUCCUUGGAAGAAGAUAGCAUCAACCAUACUCUGAACAAGUGCUGACAAGAGUGCUGCACUUGGAAGCUCAGUUCUUGUAACUGUGGGGUCCUCGUUCUCCCACAUCAUGCUCCCUCGCUUUGAUUGGACAUACUUGAUCAGACUGACAACCUGCUGCUUGUUCUCUCCGUCACUGUUUUCUACCUCAUACAGUUCCAAGUGCCGGCCUGCAAGUGAGUAUAACAAAUUAACAAGCAAAUGCUGGCAGUGCUCUAGCACAAUAUCCUCUGAACUAUCCAUUGAAACAAAUGUGACAUGAAAAAGCAGAGGCAAGUGUUCACGAAAAUCUUCAUCAUUCUCAUAUGCAAUUUCUGCCAGUAGAAUUAAUGCUAUAUCUGCAUGAGUUAGUGAAUGCUGUUGAUGCCCCUGCAAGGCUGACUGAAGUUCUUUGGCACUAACACCAUGCAUACCAACUCCAGGAUGCAACCCAUCUUCACCAGAGUUUGGAGUGUCAAUGAGGUAGUCUCCACUAUCCCUAGAAACAUGGCGGCUUCUUAAACUUCCUGUUGAACUUCUAACCCCCAUUAAAGGACCUGACAUGUUCACCAAUGCUGGAAGGAGCUGACCUGACCGUCCUGUAGUUACUGGAACCACAUUCAACUCUGGAGGCAUUGGACUUAAUGGGCCCGAGGCACUUCGCCCUGUCACACCUGCUGUUCGCCAACUCAGGCUUCCACUAGUAUUUCUGAGGGGACCAUCAAGGGAACCACGGACGAGUAAUGGUGACAUGUGUGGCUGGGUGUCCAUGACAGAUGCAAUUUGGGCUGCUGCAGGCCCCUGUGAGAAUUCCAACACAAAAUUUCCAUUUGCAUCACCCUUAGUUGCACUUGGCACAACUGGUUCAAUGCUAUCUUCCAACCUCCGUUGAGCCAAUUGAUAAACCAGGUGAUCAAUUGUGCGCUGUGGACAAAUCCGUGCUAAAUAUAAGCUUACCCGCUUUGCAACUGAGAAGUAUGUGGCAAAUGCACCACUUAUUUCAGCAGAUGCAUUUGAAUCACAAUCUUCAAUUCCUUUUGUAAUCAAGAAAUCUAAUACUGGACUAAUAUUCCUUGGCUUGCUAGCAAUUGUGCUCCAUAUUUUUUCAAUUUCAUCAGGGAACUGAUCACCAUGUCGCCAUGUUACAUAAUAAAGACUCUUCAGCAAUCUUUCACUCCAACCUGAAUCCUUGAGUUUCCAGAAAUUGAGGUUCUCAAUCCAUGGAGCCAUGCAUGUUAAGACCUGAUGCUGUGCAAUUAUAUCAACAGCAUCCAGUUGCCUCUGCAUAAUCUCCUCACAAAGAAGCUGGCUUAAUUCAGGGUGAUCUUUGGCAAGUUUACAUGAAAGCUUGUACUGGAAUUGUUGGUAGGAAUCAGGGAGGUUGCCAACAACAGCAGCUCCAUAGCUUCCUGAGCCCUCAAUGCCAUCCUCAGCCCACUCACGGACAGAAAGUGUUUCAAGCAUCUGAAGGGCAUCAUCACGGAUUUGUCUGUUUGGGUCCACAACUUUGUAGAGGAUCAGGCUCAAAAGCCUCUGUAUUUCACAUUUUGGAAUCUCUUCGCGCAUGUAGACCUCAGCCAACACACUAAAGUAACCAUCAGCUAUAGCAGCAUCAGAAUAGUAGCACUGGUCAAUACAAGCUGGAAAAAGGUCCAAAUUGGUAAGAAGAAGAUUCUUCAAAGCCAAUUUUGCUAAGGAAACACGAUGCUGACCACCUCUAUGUCUGUCACGACCAGUAGCACCACCCCCACCUUCUCCAGUGUACUUGGAGUAAGAUGGAGUUGAUGGAGAGUAACCAAAUGGAGCCCUAGGUGCAGGAUCAUUGAACAAAACAUUGAUCCAUGCUAUCACCCGGCCACUCAUUUUUCUCGCAUUGUCAUCAAAGCAUGGUCCAUAUAAAAGCGAAGCCAUAGCAUUCAUGGAUGCCCACUGGAUUGCCUCAACUUGUUCAUUCAAUUCUUUAUCAAAUGAAAUUUUGUCUAUUGAAUCUUUUGACCUGUUGUGCUGUGAAGCCUUGUAACGUUCAACAUCACGUCGAUAAUCAUUAACACCAUCCUGCCCCCAUGUACUGCCAGUUUCGUCACUCCAGGACAAGAGAAGAUCAAAUAGUCGCUUUCUAGUUCUGAGGUCAAACUUUUCUGAUUUUGACUCAACAAAUUCAGGUGCAAGAGACCUUAAAACAGAAGCAAGUGCAUAACGGAGAGGUUGCAUUUCUUGGAAGUUCUCAUUUGUUGCUGUAAAGAUCUGUCUAGUUGUUUCAUCAAUGAAUCUUAGAUAAUGAAGACGGAAAACUGGUUUACGGCUCAGCAUGCCAGGCCAGAUUUUCUCAGCAACAGUACGGUAUAUAUUUGCAAUGUGGAUUCGAAGUUCCUCACGACGAGACCUUUGAGACUUGCAACUGAAUCCAUCCUUAAAAUUUUUGUAUAACACAUGGAGUCCCACUUCCUUGGCACAACUUGCCCCCCAUAAUCUAGUUAUCUUGAUCAUGGCAUUCUCUGCUCCCCAGAAGUAGCUCACUUCCACUUUGGUUUUCCCUCAGUUUCUGAAGAAACUUCAUCAAUAAAAGACGAAAGCUCGCUAAACAUGACUUCACAUGCUUCCAAGUGAGAAUGACCAAGAGCCAUAGUAGCUGCAUGUAUAUUUGCUUCAGAUCCAGAUUUUAAUGAGGGGAAAAUAAGAUGGUAAAGAUCUUUGGUUGCUACUAAGCCACCAGCUUCUCUACUAUCCGGUGGGCAUGAACAUGCAAAAAUAGCAUACAUAAGCCACUGAUCCAGCUUGUUGUCUACAUCCUGUGACUGAUGAGCCUUUCCGCCUAACUCAAUAGGUGUUAUAUGAGCAAGGCGUUGUAUAACCUUUACCUUUGCUUCCUGAACAGAGUUUGGGCAAAGCUCAGCUGCGUAUUUGACAAGUUCACUAAGACAUCGAGCCCACCUGUUCUUGUCAGGACUCUCAAAUAUUAUAGAUUGAAGAGUCACUUCAGGAGGAAUUGCAUCAGAUUCUCGUCUCAAAUCAAAUGGACGCCCAGAAUCCCAAUAGCAGUUCUGAACAAUGUCAUCCCCAUGUUCUUCAAGUACAUCAAUUAAUAUUGGUUCAGGUUCAAGUCUCAAACUAUGGUCCACUUGCUCACAUAAUGUAAGGUCUCGUAUAUCAUUCCUUAAGGCACGUACACAGCGCAAUAACUCAAGUGCUGUAUGCCGAAUCUGGCUAUCCACAGAACUAAGGAAGAUAAGACCCACUGCAUCAAUCUCAGAUGCAUGAAACUCAAUCAUUUCUGAUUGAUGAAAAGAAGACUUCUUAAAUCCUUCAUUUCCCUGCCCCCCACGCUUCGUGUCAUCAGCACCAAAUUCCAGUUUAUCAUCAAGCAAACAAGCUCUCCAAAAACGCAUAAGUUCCAACAAGCAUCCCAAUGAAGUUUGAAUGAGAAGAGGAAAUUCGUCAGGGAGCCGAAGUAUGAAGUUAGCCAUCCCUCUCAUAACUGCAAAUCGACGAUGGGGAAGAUAUCUAACAAUUCUAUUCAAUACCUGUACAGCUUCCUCACGUACGCCAGGAUCAAUACUUAUGCCAUGUUGUGGGAUUAUUUCAGUUAUCUUAUCACUUCUUCCAACUUCUUCUAUCAGGUAUGGUAUACACUUCAGGACUGACCGAAAGAGAUACCCUUGGGACUUGUCCUUGGUCACGGCGUCUGAGGAGUGAGCACACAGUUUAUUUGGUACAUACAAUUGCAGCCCAAAGAGGAAUAAAAUGCAAGCAAUACAGGGAUAAAGAACAAUCAAGCUCACAAAUGGAAUGGAUCAUAAGAAGAGUAAGUGGACGGAGUGGGAAAAACUGAAAAACAAUAACACUAAUGCAGACCUGUUGUCCAACCUACAGGCAACAUAAGGGAAAUGCAGAGGCAUUGAUUAUGGUAAUAUUAACUGUGUUGAUGCUUCUCACUGUCACUUUAUAGGCCACCAAUUCAUUUUUCUAAACGCUAAGUAACUGAGCUAUAAUCUCAAAAUAGUUGGGCCAUUUAAAUGAGCUCCUUUUGAACACAUUGAGCCAAUUAAAUUAGCCUUUGUCUCAAAUUUCAAACAACAAGCAAAACGUCACAUUAAACCAAUUACGGCUCAUUGACAACUGCAUAAAUUCAGAUUCAAAUAUGUCCUAAUAUUCUUAAAGUAAAACAAUUAACAAAUAGGACUAUGUUAAGCAACUACCAUGCCUUCAACCAAUCCAUGACAUCACAAAGCAAAUUUAUUCAUCAAUAUGACUGUAAGUAAAACAAGUUAAUACAAAAAAAUUACAAUAGAAAUAAAAUUAGCCACCUGCUUACUUGACAAGUUAAUAUGAUGCUAAAAUACAUUCAUGUCCAUGUAUGACUUUAUGCGACAAAUUGCUGACAAAAUCACUUGUAACUAUACAAAAUUUCAGAAAGAUGUCACCUCAGAACAAAGGAAGAUUUUACCUAUUGUUGUCUUCGAAGAGGUCAAAAGAGCCUGACUAUAGGUCCUAUGACAAGAUCUCAAAAUUGAUUCAAUUGCAGCCUUAACUUUUGGUAUAUAGUGGCCAAUAUCAUGUCCUAAUUAUGGAACAAUAGUUAAAACGAAGCUUAGAUAGUCUGGAUAAAAUAAUGAAAUCACGUAUUGUAUCUGUGUAAUAGGACAAAUAAUCAAAUACCCUUAAAUAUUUCCAAGCCAACAUGCUGGCUUGAAGGUGACAUAACAAUGGCAAGCAAAGCACGAAGACCAAUAACCUUUGCUUCACUUGGACUAUCCUGCUUCAGCAAUUCUAAUAUCAUAUGGUUCAUAGCAAAAUCAAGAUUAUGCUCAGCAAUAGUCACACAGAACUCAACUAGUUUGUCAUGUUGAACAUCCUGAGUAAGCAUUCCUUUCCUCAGAACUGUUAAGAGUUGAGAAGUCACACUGUCUAAGUAAUCCCAUAUACGAUUUGGGGCCUGGCUAGCAGCAUGAACACUCAAGUAAAACCUCAAAACUCGAUGAAGACAGUCCAAGGCCAUGAAACGAUGGUUCUUGUCUCUUAAUAACUUGUAGAGUUGCUCCAUGUGAGGACUUAGGUUGUUGUGGAAUAUUUGAGGGUCACCAAGACAGAGGAGAAGAGUCACAAGAGGGUAGCCAACAGCUAUAUGUUUACUUUGUUUGUCCAUCCAAUGCAUAAGUUGUACUCUUAUCCUCCCGACAGCUUCAUACCACAGUGUAAGUGCAUUUUCUACACCUAAAGGGGGCCAGUGGCUUUUUCCACCAUCUGCUAGUGGAGAAAGGAUAUUUGAGAGCAUAUUACAUAGCGCAUGGUAAAGCUCACUCUUGCGUUUAUGUGGAGCACGGUUAAGAGGGUUUGCUUUUGCCACAAAGGAAGCUGACGCAUUCAAUCCUCCUUCAGUUUUAACCCAAAGUUUCAGAUAACGCAUCCCAUUGAUAAUGCUCAGUGUUUCACUUCGGACAAUGCUAGUAUCAAUCCAACGAGUGUUCAAUUCCAUAAAAAAGCGCUCAGUUACAGAACUAAACCUGAUGCGAGAUAAGGCACCUAAGAGUUGAGCAACUAAGUCCAAAAGGAGCCCUCGUAAAUCAACCAACGAGGGAUAGUCAAUCUGGCUAACAACCCUGUCAGCAUUGAUUAGCCAGUCAAAAACAAAAUUUUCAAGUCCAGACCAAAGCUUCUCAGUAAGUGCUUCCUGAGGGCAGCACUCCACAAAACGAAUACAUGCUGAGCAAAAAAUACACUCCACUGCAAGCUUUCUUUGGAAGGUAGACGCAUCAUUUGCACCUUUGGGAGAUUCACUUUCUCUCCAUCUAAGAAGAGCUUCUAAAAGUGGUACAGGAGUAUGUCGGGCAACCAUAGCCAAGGAAUCCAAAACCUGCUCAUACGCAGGGUCCGAUGGUCGAAGGUACUGUCCAUCCUGAGCUUGAGCUGUUUCAAUGCGACGUCUGGCCAGCGGGAGGAACCGCUGCAGCAGGGCAUCAACAAUCAGCUUAGCAGCGCUUCCUGCUUUCAUUUUUAUUGUAAUUGUUAUUUACCAGGGACUACCCACAACAGUCAACAUGAAGGGUUGCGAAUGAGGACAAAGGAGUGUUGAUCUGAUUAAAAUUGAGAGGAAUAGAAAACCUGAAAACCCUUUAGGGUUUCGGUAAAUGAUUGCUUGAAGCUUUACCCAUUGCUAGUUGGGAGGAUCUAGCACCAACAACAACGAAACGUCUGCUUGAUUAAUCCAGAAAUAACUAAUUUAAACAGCAGAGAAAACGGUGGAUCGUUUCAUCAUAUUGUUCUCAUCUCAUGUCAGAUCGUAUUUAAUAUUUUGAUCGUUAUUCUUGCGGUUAAAGACUU